Non-coding RNA from Sclerotinia nivalis, 138 nucleotides. NCBI's taxonomy places the organism in Eukaryota, Fungi, Ascomycota, Leotiomycetes, Helotiales, Sclerotiniaceae. The record is from the annotation of a GenBank genome assembly.
GGAGAUGUGGUCUAGUGGUAAGGUACUUGUCAUGAAGUGGGCUUUUAUCAGCUUGAUUACGUGCCUUUAGGGCAACUCUUAUGAGUAGUGACUUCAUCUUAAGAACAUGAGGCGAUAUUUCAAUUCUAUCCAUCCCCA